GCAUAUGGAAGUUCCCAGGCUAGGGGUCAAAUCGGAGCUACAGCUGCUGGCCUACGCCAUAGCCACAGCAAUGCAGAAUCCAAGCCACAUCUGUGACUUACAUCACAGCUCACAGCAACACCAGAUCCUUAACCCACUGCACGAGGCCAGGGGUUGAACCUGCAUCCUCAUGGAUACUGGUUGAAUUCAUUUCCACUGCACCACAACAGGAACUCCCCAAAGAUUUUUCUUAAAUGAACUCUUCUGGUCAGUUAUUACUCCUUUCAGAGCAUUCAUCUUAGUCCUUUACCAACAACGUCCAAAAUUUUUAGUCAAUAAAACGUAUUUCCAAGAAACCAUGACAUUCUGAGCCAUUAUUCAAUGCCAUUCUAAUAAAAUCCAAACCUUUCAGUAUUUCCAUACCAGACGGCACAUUUUACAAGAGAGUGUACCAAGCUUUCUAACAGCCAAUGUUAAAACUGUACAUGUGUAUACAGUUUGACUGAGUUCCACUUUAAGAAAUCUAUUCAGUGGAAAUAAUUGAGCACAUAUACAAAGUACGUAUACAAAGAUGUUAAUCACAUUAUUUUUAAAAAUCACAUUAUUAUUUAUAAAGGCAAAUAUCAAGAAAAUGAAAUGUCCUUCAGUAAAAAAAAAGAUGAUACAUUCAUGAAUUUAAAUAUUGUAUAACCACUGAAGAUGAUGAAAUCUGUCUAUAUCUAAGGACCAUGAAAUAUAUAUGUGCGUCUAUGUAUAUAUAUUUUUUCAGGACCAUCUGUGUAUUCAGGAUAUCUAUAGUUGCAUAAACAAAUGUCUGAGGUUAUUUUUUGUUUUUCCUUAAAAAGUGUUUCUUAUCAGAGUUCCCGUCAUGGCUCAGCAGUUAACAAACCCUGACUAGUAUCCAUAAUGAUGCAAAUUCGAUCCCUGGCCUCACUCUGUGGGUUAAGGAUCUAGCAUUGCCGUGAGCUUGGUGUAGUUUGAAGAUGUGGCUUGGAUCUCAUGUUGCUGUGGCUGUGGUAUAAGCCAGCGGCUACAGCUCUGACUGGACACCUAGCCUGGGAACCUCCAUAUGUGGUGGGUGCAACCCUAAAAAGACAAAAAAAAAAUUAAAAAUUUUAAAAAAAAAAGAUUUCAAAGAAAUAUGUGGAAAUGUUAAUGGCAAUUGUACCUGGUGUUGUACACCAGCAUUUGUACCUGGAAUCACAGGUAAAUUUAUUCCUCUACUUUAUAUAUUAUAUACUUUUAAGUAUCUUUUUUUUUUUUUGUCUUUUUUGUUGUUGUUGUUGUUGUUAUUGUUGCUAUUUCUUGGGCCGCUCCCGCGGCAUAUGGAGGUUCCCAGGGUAGGGGUUGAAUCGGAGCUGUAGCCACCAGCCUACGCCAGAGCCACAGCAACGCGGGAUCCGAGCCGAGUCUGCAACCUACACCACAGCUCACGGCAAUGCCGGAUCGUUAACCCACUGAGCAAGGGCAGGGAUCGAACCCGCAACCUCAUGGUUCCUAGUCGGAUUCGUUAACCACUGCGCCUCGACGGGAACUCCUAAUUUUUAAAGCUAUUUUCAUUUUGGGUAAAAAUUAGCUCUCAACAGAAAAUAUUUUAUGAGGGUUUGUUUCCUUAAAAGAAACCAGUUAUAUGAGGACAAAAUUAUAUGCACAAAAUAAAGUUUAUUUAUCAACCCACUGUGGAUCAGUGGGUUAAGAACCUAACAUAGUGUCCAUGAGGACGCGAGUUCGAUCCCUGGCCUCACUUAGUGGGUUAAGUGUACAGCAUUGCUGCAAGCUGUGGUGUAGAUCACAGAUACAGUUUGGAUCCAGUGAUGCCAUGGCCGUGCCUUUGGCUCCAACUUGACCCCUAGCCCAGGAACAUGCUCUAGGUACACAGGUACAGCUGUUAAAAAAAAAAAAAAAUCAAAGAAAAAAUGGGGUAUUAUAGUUAACUGAAAGUAACUAUAAGGACUUUAUGUGGAUAUAGACCAUGGACACAUCAAAACAGGCACUUACAAAGUGGUUUUCAUCCUAACUUUUAAAACCUUCCUUUUUAAAAUUUCAAUUCAUUUUAUCUGAAAUUCCUUUUUUAUUGAAGUACAGUUGAUUAACAAUAUAGUGUUAGUUUCAGGUGUACAGUAAGGUGAUUCAGUUAUAUAUAUUUUUUCAGAUUUUUUCCAUUAUAGGUUAUUACAUGAUAUUGAUUUUAGUUCCCUGUGCUAUACAGAAAAUCCUUGUUGUUUAUCUGUUUUAUACAUAGUAGUGUGUAUCUGAUAAUCUCUUAUUCCUAAUUUAUCCCUCCCUUUCUUUUCCUAUUUGGUAACCAUAAAUUUGUUUUCUGUCUGUGAGUCUGUUUUUGUUUUAUAAUUAAAUUCAUUCAUAUUAUUUUUUUAGAUUCCAUAUAUAAAUGGUAUCAUAUAAUAUUUAUCUCUGUUCAUGGACACUAGGUUGCUUCCAUACAUUGUCUUUGUAAACAGUGCUGCUAUGACCAUCAGGGUGCAUGUAUCUUUUGAAAUUAUAGUUUUCAUAGUUUCCAGAUAGAUGCCCAGGAGUUGAACUCAUGAAUCAUAUGGUAACUCUAUUUUUAGUUUUUUAAGAAACCUCCAUACUGUUUUCCAUAGUGGCUGCACCAAUUUACAUUCCCACCAAAAGCAUAGAAGUGUUCAUUUUUCUCCACACCGUCUCUAGUAUUUAUUAUGUGUAGACUUUUUGACAAUGGUCAUUCUGACUGGUAUGAGGUGAUACAUCAUGGUAGUUUUGAUUUGCAUUUCUCUAAUAAUUGGUGAUGUUGAGCAUCUUUUCAUGUGCCUGUUGGCCAGCUGUAUGUUUUCUUUUGAUAAAUGUCUAUUUAGGUCUUCUGCCCAUUUUUUAUUAGGUUUUUUGUUUUUUAUGAUAUUGAGCUGUUGUGUAUAUUUUGGAAAUUAACCCCUUGUCAGUUGCAUCAUUUACAAAUAUUUUCUCCCAGUCCUUAGGUUGUCUUUUUGUUUUGUUUAUGGUUUCCUUUGCUGUG
Molecule: long non-coding RNA, 2971 nt
Filed under: Sus scrofa (pig)
Lineage: Eukaryota; Metazoa; Chordata; Mammalia; Artiodactyla; Suidae
Description: lncRNA (ENSSSCG00000055913.1)
Source: RNAcentral